AAAGUCGUAACAAGGUAACCGUAGGUGAACCUGCGGUUGGAUCAUUUAAAAGAUCAACCAACAAUAUCAGCUCUAACCCGGCUGGUCACACACUUGUGCACCGUUUAAUGUCUUUGGUGGGGGAGUGGCAUCCACGUCUUGGCCGGAUCUCGGUCGAGGCUUGGGCAACAAAUGUUUCACUCGUCAGCGUUCCCUUUAGGGGAGCGCCGUGGACAUCCCAUCGUUUUUAUCCAACCUCUGAUUUGUUUAAUCUGUCUGAACGUAUUAUUUUGCUUUCCGCAAAAUGCAAUAUACAAAACAACUUUUGGCAACGGAUCUCUUGGCUCUC
Molecule: unclassified non-coding RNA, 328 nt
Filed under: Chytridiomycota sp.
Lineage: Eukaryota; Fungi; Chytridiomycota
Description: partial contains small subunit ribosomal RNA, internal transcribed spacer 1, and 5.8S ribosomal RNA
Rfam family: Eukaryotic small subunit ribosomal RNA (bases 1-47)
Source: RNAcentral